ACGGGAGGCAGCAGCUAAGAAUAUUCCGCAAUUGACGAAAGUCUGACGGAGCGACGCCGCGUGGAUGAUGAAGGUCGGAAGAUUGUAAAAUCCUUUUGGACAUAAGGAAUAAGGAGAGUGAGAGAAACGCUUUCCGGUGACUGUAGUGUCAGAAUAAGCAACGGCUAAUUACGUGCCAGCAGCCGCGGUAACACGUAAGUUGCGAGCGUUGUUCGGAAUUAUUGGGCGUAAAGGGCAUGUAGGCGGUUUUGCAAGCUUGAUGUGAAAGGCAGGAGCUUAACUCCUGGACUGCGUUGAGAACUGCAUGACUAGAGUCACUGAGGGGCAAUCAGAAUUCCUGGUGUAGGGGUGAAAUCUGUAGAUAUCAGGAAGAAUACCAAUGGCGAAGGCAGGUUACCAGCAGAUGACUGACGCUGAGGUGCGAAGGUGCGGGGAGCAAACAGGAUUAGAUACCCUGGUA
This 460-nucleotide ribosomal RNA is filed under the name uncultured Treponema sp. RNAcentral's name for it is "partial 16S ribosomal RNA". It matches the Rfam family "Bacterial small subunit ribosomal RNA", at positions 341 to 792 of the family's 1533-position model. The record is from RNAcentral. Lineage: Bacteria; Pseudomonadati; Spirochaetota; Spirochaetia; Treponematales; Treponemataceae.